RNAcentral lists this small RNA (68 nucleotides) under Acididesulfobacillus acetoxydans. RNAcentral's name for it is "Peptococcaceae bacterium INE non-coding RNA". Lineage: Bacteria; Bacillati; Bacillota; Clostridia; Eubacteriales; Peptococcaceae. The record is from RNAcentral.
GUUUCAAUUCCUCAUAGGCAGGCUAUCGGCGAUAUUCGGAAAAAGGAAUAAUAUUCUAGAGCAUUGGG